RNAcentral lists this ribosomal RNA (492 nucleotides) under uncultured bacterium. RNAcentral's name for it is "partial 16S ribosomal RNA". It matches the Rfam family "Bacterial small subunit ribosomal RNA", at positions 29 to 507 of the family's 1533-position model. The record is from RNAcentral.
AGUGAACGCUGGCGGUAGGCCUAACACAUGCAAGUCGAACGGCAGCACAGUAAGAGCUUGCUCUUACGGUUGGCGAGUGGCGGACGGGUGAGGCAUACAUCGGAAUCUACUUUUUCGUGGGGGAUAACGUAGGGAAACUUACGCUAAUACCGCAUACGAUCUACGGGUGAAAGCAGUGGAUCUUCGCACCUUGCGCGUCUGAAUGAGCCGAUGUCGGAUUAGCUAGUUGGCUGGGUAACGGCUCACCAAGGCGACGAUCCGUAGCUGGUCUGAGAGGAUGAUCGGCCACACUGGAACUGAGACACGGUCCAGACUCCUACGGGAGGCAGCAGUGGGGAAUAUUGGGCAAUGGGCGAAAGCCUGAUCCAGCCAUACCGCGUGGGUGAAGAAGGCCUUCGGGUUGUAAAGCCCUUUUGUUGGGAAAGAAAAGCAGCAGGUUAAUACCCAGCUGUUCUGACGGUACCUAAAGAAUAAGCACCGGCUAACUUCGUG